GCUUGCUCCCGGGUGACGAGUCGGCUGGACGGGUGAUGGAACACUGUGUGCAACUGCCUUUAUCUGGGGGAUAGCUUUCGAACAGUGAAGAUUAAUACCCCAUAAUAUGUUGGAUGGCAUCAUUCGACAUUGAAAACUCCGGUGGAUNACGCAGAUGGGGCACGCGCAAGAUUCAGAUACGUUGGUUGAGUGUACCGGGUCACCAAAGUCUACGAUCUUUCACGNGGGGCCUGACAGGGUGAUCCCCGCAACUUGGUUACUUGAUGAACCAACUGUGGACCCAAGACUUCCUUAACGGGCACGGCACGCCAGCUGAGGGAACUAUCUUGGGUGCCACAUGGGCGUGAGANGCCUUGCAUUCCAAGGUCAUACCCCUGCAUUGGAACUGGACUGAACUUGGCCCUAAUGGGGGUCUUGUAAAGACUUNCUCAUCGUGGUGCAUUAAGNGGGGAUUCAACAAAGCGCUUAACCCCUUCCUGCUUGAAGUGGGUUAAUCGCGUUGCGACAACGUGGGUAAGCCUAAUUACUGACAAGUUAAAGCNGGCCAUCCCCCGUGGCUUCAANAGCAGUCCCUGGUCUUGACCCCAAGAGCAAUGGACA
This 600-nucleotide ribosomal RNA is filed under the name uncultured bacterium. RNAcentral's name for it is "partial 16S ribosomal RNA". The record is from RNAcentral.